GAUUUCAGGUAAAAACAAUAAUUGAAGAUGUCCAGCAAAACAGCAAGCACCAACAAUAUAGCCCAGGCAAGGAGAACUGUGCAGCAGUUAAGAUUAGAAGCCUCCAUUGAAAGAAUAAAGGUUUCGAAGGCAUCAGCGGACCUCAUGUCCUACUGUGAGGAACAUGCCAGGAGUGACCCUUUGCUGAUAGGAAUACCAACUUCAGAAAACCCUUUCAAGGAUAAAAAAACUUGCAUCAUCUUAUAGUGGAAUAGAGAAACAGCUCCUCGCCUCUUCCCAACAACGCAAAUUAUGAGCAGCUCCUUGAAGAGAUUUACCUUCAGCUUAUUUGGUAACCACUGCUAAUAACUAAAAUGUUCUCAGCUUGGAAUAAUGGACUCUGAAGUCUCUAUUUUCCAAGUUGUCCUUUCUCUUAAAAUACCCUUUACUGAUUUAAUACAGAAUAACAAUCUUAUUUUCCACUUGGUAACUAUGGCUUUAUGUUGGGUUACUGUUUAAGGAAAGUUGAUCUGGGCCUUUUUAAAAACAUAAUUAUAUACUUUAGAAAUACAAGGGAUUCCGAUAUGUCAGGACCUAAAUGGCCUAAGCACCUGUCAAAUUAAAAUUCCAAAAUUCAUUGAAAUCCUAAAGCCUUGAUAUUAUAUUCUUUAUAAGGCGUGUGCCAGCCUGUAUAGUAUAUAAGAGAGAGGGGUGUUUGUGUGUAUAUAUAUAUGCCUUUGUGUAUACACUUAUCAAAGCUAUUUUCUUAUGAAAACGUCCCUCUCUCCAUACCAUCAGUUUCUCAGUUCCAGAAGUUAUACCUUUAUUUUGAGCUGUGUAUAGGUAGAAUAAAAAAUUCCUUUCAUAUCGUUAUUGUACAAAAAGUAAAGAGUAUCCUAAAGAUUGUAUUCAUUGUAAUCAAGUAAUGCAAUCAUCUCUCCUCUCUUGAAAUCUUGCUGGACCUCUUAGGCUACAAUAAACUGUACCAAACUAAACUGACAGUCCUUCGAUAAUAUGAAACAUUAAUUUACAAGGACCCGUUAGGGCUUCAAUGAUGCUGAGUCUGGAAAAGGGGAGGAGACCCUUGGGAGGACUCCAGGCAGCUGUGCUCCCAGGGCUCAUGUUCUCUACUGGAUUAGGGAUAGGCACCUCUGAAAUCUCCACCCUGAUGAUUGGAAUGAAACGGAGUGAACAUGAGCCCAGCUGAGAGAGGAGCAGGAAUGUGUGAAAAACAGCUGCUCUCCUUGUCCCAGCUUUGUGAUUGAGCCCUCUGUCUUGCUCUCUCUGCCUUCCCUGUGUCUUUCUUCUCUUACCAGAGCAUCUGUUUGCAGAGGUAACAUUACCUUCCCCAGCCACAGGUAUGUGGAAUACGGUGAG
RNAcentral lists this long non-coding RNA (1356 nucleotides) under Homo sapiens (human). RNAcentral describes it as "long non-coding RNA NONHSAT151753.1". The record is from RNAcentral. Lineage: Eukaryota; Metazoa; Chordata; Mammalia; Primates; Hominidae.